UAUAUAUAUAUAUGCAAAAACGGAUAUUAAACAUCACCUUUUUUGUAUGUUUCGGCAUCUCAAACCAUCCCUACAAACACUCAUCGCAAAUUGUUACACAUGCAAAAAAAAAAGAUGAAUGGUUCUCAUCUAGAGCUUGUUGGCUUUGGUGGGGAUCGAACACUACUACUGGCACAAUGCCGUCUGUAACAAAAUGUCAUUAUUAAUCACCAUUCGCACAGGUUGUCAGAAUGCCUAUCUCAAAAAAAAAUUGAUUAACGAAAAAAAUCAAAAAGUUAUUCCCAUGACCCGAUCUCAAAAUUUGCAACUAACCAUGUAGCACCCAAAAAUUUUAUUCUUUUAAAUAGAUGAAUUUGAUUUAAUUAAAUAAUUUUUGUGAAGCAUUGCAAUACAGGAAAAUAAUAAAUU
RNAcentral lists this long non-coding RNA (408 nucleotides) under Sorghum bicolor (sorghum). RNAcentral describes it as "long non-coding RNA (SBIC_LNC009268)". The record is from RNAcentral. Lineage: Eukaryota; Viridiplantae; Streptophyta; Magnoliopsida; Poales; Poaceae.